GGGGGCCCGCAAGCGGUGGAGCAUGUGGUUUAAUUCGACGCAACGCGAAGAACCUUACCUGGGCUCGAAAUGUAGUGGAAUCCGGCAGAAACGUCGGCGUCUAGCAAUAGACCGCUAUAUAGGUGCUGCAUGGCUGUCGUCAGCUCGUGUCGUGAGAUGUUGGGUUAAGUCCCGCAACGAGCGCAACCCUUAUCUUCAGUUGCUACCAUUUAGUUGAGCACUCUGACGAAACCGCCUCGGAUAACGGGGAGGAAGGUGGGGAUGACGUCAAGUCCUCAUGGCCUUUAUGUCCAGGGCUACACACGUGCUACAAUGGCCGGUACAAACCGCUGCAACCCCGCGAGGGUGAGCUAAUCGGAAAAAGCCGGCCUCAGUUCGGAUUGGAGUCCGCAACUCGACUCCAUGAAGCUGGAAUCGCUAGUAAUCGUGGAUCAGCAUGCCACGGUGAAUACGUUCCCGGGCCUUGUACACACC
Molecule: ribosomal RNA, 474 nt
Filed under: uncultured bacterium
Lineage: Bacteria
Description: bacterial SSU rRNA
Rfam family: Bacterial small subunit ribosomal RNA
Source: RNAcentral